UAGGUAGGCGUCCUGCUAAGUCGGAUGUGAAAUCCCUUGGCUUAACCAAGGAAUUGCAUUCGAAACUGUCAGGAUUGAGCACGGAAGAGGGGAGCGGAAUUCCCGGUGUAAGGGUGACAUCUGUAGAGAUCGGGAGGAACACCAGUGGCGAAAGCGGCUCCCUGGUCCAGUGCUGACGCUGAACUACGAAAGCUAGGGGAGCAAACAGGAUUAGAUACCCUGGUAGUCC
Molecule: ribosomal RNA, 229 nt
Filed under: uncultured bacterium
Lineage: Bacteria
Description: partial 16S ribosomal RNA
Rfam family: Bacterial small subunit ribosomal RNA
Source: RNAcentral